UGGGGAAUAUUGGGCAAUGGGCGAAAGCCUGACCCAGCGACGCCGUGUGGGCGAUGAAGGCCUUCGGGUUGUAAAGCCCUGUGAGGUGGAAAGAAGGGCCCAGAGGUUAAUACCCUUUGGGUCUUGACGGUACCACCAGAGGAAGCACCGGCUAACUCCGUGCCAGCAGCCGCGGUAAUACGGAGGGUGCAAGCGUUGUUCGGAAUUACUGGGCGUAAAGGGCGCGUAGGUGGUUGUGUAAGUCAGAUGUGAAAUCCCGAGGCUCAACCUUGGAACUGCAUCUGAUACUGCAUGACUCGAGUACAGCAGAGGGAAACGGAAUUCCUGGUGUAGAGGUGAAAUUCGUAGAUAUCAGGAGGAACACCGGUGGCGAAGGCGGUUUCCUGGGCUGAUACUGACACUGAGGCGCGAAAGCGUGGGGAGCAAACAGG
RNAcentral lists this ribosomal RNA (431 nucleotides) under uncultured prokaryote. RNAcentral describes it as "bacterial SSU rRNA". It matches the Rfam family "Bacterial small subunit ribosomal RNA", at positions 355 to 776 of the family's 1533-position model. The record is from RNAcentral. RNAcentral also lists the same sequence under 1 other name.